Mus musculus (house mouse) is the source of this 47-nucleotide non-coding RNA. The record is from Rfam. NCBI's taxonomy places the organism in Eukaryota, Metazoa, Chordata, Mammalia, Rodentia, Muridae.
CCAAAGGCUCUUUUCAGAGCCACCUACCCUUUCAAAAAGGGAGCUGU